RNAcentral lists this ribosomal RNA (373 nucleotides) under Trizona sp. Its description in RNAcentral is "partial small subunit ribosomal RNA". It matches the Rfam family "Eukaryotic small subunit ribosomal RNA", at positions 587 to 975 of the family's 1831-position model. Lineage: Eukaryota; Acantharea; Holacanthida; Acanthochiasmidae. The record is from RNAcentral.
AGCUCCAAUAGCGUAUACUAAUGUUGUUGCAGUUAAAAAGCUCGUAGUCGGAUUUCAGUUUGAUUUUGGUACUUCUACCCGGAGAUCCUUAAUCAUUCUUCCUUGACAUAAACAUCUAUGUCCUUCAUUGGAUGUGGCUUGGGAGUGUCUCUUUUACUUUGAGAAAAUUAGAGUGUUCAAAGCAGGUGUCCGCCUGAAUAUUACUCUUGGAAUAAUACUAUAGGACUUUGGUUCUGCUUUGUUGGUGUUCAGAGCCAGAGUAAUGAUUGAUAGGGACGGUUGGGGUCAUUAGUACUGCAAAGCGAGAGGUGAAAUUCUUGGACCUUUGUAUGACUAACAACUGCGAAAGCAUUUGACUAGGACGUUCCCGUUG